This 253-nucleotide ribosomal RNA is filed under the name uncultured bacterium. RNAcentral describes it as "partial 16S ribosomal RNA". It matches the Rfam family "Bacterial small subunit ribosomal RNA", at positions 524 to 776 of the family's 1533-position model. The record is from RNAcentral.
UACGUAGGGGGCAAGCGUUAUCCGGAUUUAUUGGGCGUAAAGGGAACGCAGGCGGUCUUUUAAGUCUGAUGUGAAAGCCUUCGGCUUAACCGGAGUAGUGCAUUGGAAACUGGGAGACUUGAGUGCAGAAGAGGAGAGUGGAACUCCAUGUGUAGCGGUGAAAUGCAUAGAUAUUAGGAGGAACACCAGUGGCGAAGGCGGCCUACUGGACGGUGACUGACGCUGAGGCUCGAAAGCGUGGGGAGCAAACAGG